Molecule: ribosomal RNA, 116 nt
Filed under: Lepisosteus oculatus (spotted gar)
Lineage: Eukaryota; Metazoa; Chordata; Actinopteri; Semionotiformes; Lepisosteidae
Source: RNAcentral
GAGAGCAGCUUUGCUUCUUUGCAACCUAAUCUUGCCAGAUCUCAGAAGCUAAGCAAGGCUGGGCCUGUUCAGUAGUGGGAUGAGAGACUCUAGGGAAAACUAGGUUGCUGUGGUGA